RNAcentral lists this ribosomal RNA (468 nucleotides) under uncultured bacterium. RNAcentral's name for it is "partial 16S ribosomal RNA". It matches the Rfam family "Bacterial small subunit ribosomal RNA", at positions 28 to 507 of the family's 1533-position model. The record is from RNAcentral.
GACGAACGCUGGCGGCGUGCUUAACACAUGCAAGUCGAACGGAAAGGCCCUGCUUUUGUGGGGUGCUCGAGUGGCGAACGGGUGUGUAACACGUGAGUAUCCUCCCCUUGACUUUGGGAUAACUCCAGGAAACUGGGGCUAUUACCGGAUAGGAGCUCUUGCUGCAUGGUGGGGGUUGGAAAGUUUCGGCGGUUGGGGAUGGACUCGCGGCUUAUCAGCUUGUUGGUGAGGUAGUGGCUUACCAAGGCUUUGACGGGUAGCCGGCCUGAGAGGGUGACCGGCCACAUUGGGACUGAGAUACGGCCCAGACGCCUACGGGAGGCAGCAGUGGGGAAUAUUGCACAAUGGGCGGAAGCCUGAUGCAGCAACGCCGCGUGCGGGAUGACGGCCUUCGGGUUGUAAACCGCUUUCGCCUGUGACGAAGCGUGAGUGACGGUAAUGGGUAAAGAAGCACCGGCUAACUACGUG